Molecule: ribosomal RNA, 253 nt
Filed under: uncultured bacterium
Lineage: Bacteria
Description: partial 16S ribosomal RNA
Rfam family: Bacterial small subunit ribosomal RNA
Source: RNAcentral
UACGGAGGGUGCAAGCGUUAUCCGGAUUCACUGGGUUUAAAGGGUGCGUAGGCGGGCAGGUAAGUCCGUGGUGAAAUCUCUGAGCUUAACUCAGAAACUGCCAUGGAUACUAUUUGUCUUGAAUAUUGUGGAGGUGAGCGGAAUAUGUCAUGUAGCGGUGAAAUGCUUAGAUAUGACAUAGAACACCAAUUGCGAAGGCAGCUCACUACACAGUUAUUGACGCUGAGGCACGAAAGCGUGGGGAUCGAACAGG